Molecule: long non-coding RNA, 332 nt
Filed under: Pelobates cultripes (western spadefoot toad)
Lineage: Eukaryota; Metazoa; Chordata; Amphibia; Anura; Pelobatidae
Source: RNAcentral
CUCAGACCGAGCAGGUUGUAGGAAGCACCAGGGAAAGGCUCUGCUCCAGCCUGCCGCUCACGCCAGUCCCCCCCAACCGGGCACGAUGAGAGCUGUCAUCCAAAGGGUCACUCAGGCCAGUGUGACGGGUGAGUGAGGCGAGGUGGCAGCGCUGACAGCCAGUGUGUAUCCGCAGUGCUGAGCGGCUCGGGUGCGCAGCUGGUGGAGGGCAAGCAGGCCGGCAGCUUUCAUAGCCUGUGCGGGCGACUUGGGGCAAUGUGCUGGCCCACUGUCACCGGACACAUACACACUGCGGCCAUGGUGUGCAGCAUGAGCUGGCCCGUCAUAGCCAC